Molecule: ribosomal RNA, 422 nt
Filed under: uncultured bacterium
Lineage: Bacteria
Description: partial 16S ribosomal RNA
Rfam family: Bacterial small subunit ribosomal RNA
Source: RNAcentral
GAUAUUGGACAAUGGGGGCAACCCUGAUCCAGCCAUGCCGCGUGUGUGAAGAAGGUCUUCGGAGUGUAAAGCACUUUAAGUUGGGGGGAAGGGCUGUAGGUUAAUACCCUGAAGUUUUGACGUUACCAACAGAAUCAUCACCUGCUUACGUAGUGCCAGCAGCCGCGGUAAUACAGAGGGUGCAAGCGUUAAUCGGAAUUACUGGUCAUAAAGCGAGCGUAGGUGGUUCAGUAAGAUGGGUGUGAAAUCCCCGGGCUUAACCUGGGAACUGCUUUCAUAACUGCUGAGGUAGAGUACGGUAGAGGGUAGUGGAAUAUCCUGUGUAGCGGUGAAAUGCGUAAAUAUAGGAAGGAACAACAGUGGCGAAGGCGACUACCUGGACUGAUACUGACACUGAGGUGCGAAAGCGUGGGGAGCAAACA